UACAAAACAAAUAGUUUACAUUUAACUUUUGUCUAUGUUAUCCAGAGCAUCUACAGAAAGAGAACCAAUCUUAGCUAUAAGGAAUAUUUCGGCAUCAAAAUGGUUAAUAGUAUUAUAGCUUCAAAAGAGCCUAUUGGCUCACCCUCAAGGAUGCCCUGCAGUUGUUGUUAAAGUCAUCAGAUGAAGCUAGCCUUCUCAGCUAGCCUUUAGAUUUGUCUGCUAACAGUAAAAAUGCUGUAAUAAAUCGGUAACAUAUGUUGCCAGGCAAGGAAAAGUGAUAUAAAUAAAGAGACAAGGAGACCCAAACCAAGUACAAUGUGAAAAAAAAAACAAAAACAAAAACAAAAAAAACCCCUUAAUUUUCAAUCUACUCGUUGGCUAAUUACCAUUUGAAAAGUGUUUUGAAAGUGUUACUGUUAUUUGCUUGUGUUCUUCCUCAUUUUUCUCUUUUUCUCUUCAGAUUGCAUUCUUACCCAAAUACUCUUCCGUGAUUGCCUGCUUUGCGGCUUUGGGGUAAGUCCCAGUUUUCCACAACCUUAAAGAAGAAAAAAAAAUGCAUAACAUAAAAGAUGCCAAAAAAGACUUAUGUGUCCUGAUGUGCGGGUUUUGUGAAAUAUAAAUGGGUUGGUUGUGGGGUAGAUGUAAGGAAAUAAAGAGAAGAGGUUUGUUUCUGCAGGGCUCAAGAGUAUGUGAAAGUGUGCAUUGCAAACGAGGCUCCCGUCAGGAAAGCUACCUCUGGAAUGGAAAUGACAAAGCUUGGAACACACACAAUCAAUUAUUUUCACUAGCAUUUAAAAUAUAGAAAACAAAAUCUGCUUUGGGGAUUGACUGAAUAUUUUAUUUAGCUUUUUUAUUGAGACAUCCUUUGAAAAAUGGUAUAAUAUAAAUAGUUUUACAAAGCAACAAUAUAAUCAAUCUCUAAACUAGAGUAUAAAUCAAGGAUUUCAUUAACUGCUGGUAGCCAGUUUAAAUUGUAGUCUUGUCCAUAAUGUCUAUCUAUCUAUGUAUGUCCAAGUUAUAUUAAAAACCUUUAAAUGGCUUUGUAAUAUCAGCUACAUCUAGCUAUUAUAAUAAUUAAUGGUACUGUUUUAUAAAUCAAUACAUGUAUUCUUGAUAAAUUCAUAUCCAGUUAAUGAUGUAAUUUAAAUAAAAAAUUAAUGUAAUAAAGGACAUACAGAAACAGGCAGGAAAUCUUUAAAGGUUAAGAGACAAAUUUGUCUAAAUUCAUUUUUAAGCUGUUCUGAAAAAUUUUUAUGUUUAGAAUAAGCUAAGAUUUACCUUUGUGUCUGCUAUCUUGCCAUAUCUAUUAGGAAUUAGUAUUGAAUUUAUAAAAUAUUUUCUUUUCAACUGUUAAGUUUUAAUUACAUACUUAAUACUAUGUGAUAUUUUACUGCCAUUAUACUCUUUUGCAGUUCUUGAAUAUUCCUCAGAUAAACAGAACAAAAAGAAAACCUAAAAAUUUUAACUUAGUGAUCUAGUUUAAUAUACAAAUGAAAUGUAAAUGCUUUGCUAUUUGUUCAUAUAUGUGUGUAUGUUUAUAGAUAUAUAUGUAUAUAGUUUACUUAAGGGGGAAGAACUGAUUAGUUAAAUGAAUUUGCAUUUCUAAGAACUCUGUGUUUUUAUUUCUUUCACUGAAUGAACAUUCUAGGAGUCUUAGGAAGAAAUUAAAAUUACUUGAAAAGUCCAACGUGUAUUUUAACGUUGUACAUGGGUAGAAAAACAUUCUACUAAAAUGUAUGAUUUCUAUAAUUUAAAUACUACAUACUAGAUGUAUACUAUAGAAUAACAAGAUUUAAAAAAAUAGCAGCAUGUUGUAAUUUAUAAAAUACAAUCUUAAAUAUUUCCAAAUAGAAUUUCAUUUGGUUUAUAGAAUAAUAAUUUUACACAAAAUAUCUUUCAGAAUUAUGCAGACCAGUCUGCCCUGCCAUUUUCCGUGACAUGGUGCAGAAAUGUGACUUUAAUCCACUGAGCUUUUUCUGACAUUUUUCUUAACAUUGCAGGGCUUUAUUUAGAGCAGCAAAGGCUACAUGUGCAGUUUCCUUUGACACUGAUGGGUGUUUCAAAAUGUUACAGGAGAAAGAGGAAAAGGGAGAGAGAGAGUGAGAGAGAGAGAGAGAGACUUGCUGCCAGACACUUCAUCAAUAGAGCUACAGGGCAAUUACUAUUUGUUAAAAGUUUACAUUUCAAAUGAAGCUAAAUUUUAAAGAAGCCUUAUCUUUUCAGAAGAGGUUGGAAGAGGAAGGAAGAGAAUGCGUAUUAGUGAUUACAUGUUAAAGUGCACUCAAGUGCUGGAACCAUUUAAAAUGUAUUGUGUCUUUAGAUGAAACCUACAGCAAAACCACUCCUAAGAGGCUUAAUUUAGGUUUUAUAGGAGGAACAUAAAAAAGACCAGGUUACAGCAGCAUGCUGAAAUAUGGGGUACAUUUUAAAUAUCUUCAUUUUAAAACGUAUGUUUAUUUUCUCUCCUGGGAUCACUAACAUGGAUCUUGACAGAAAAACCAAGGAUAUGCUACAUUCUUAAAAAUUAUCUAUUAAAGGAAUCACAUUCCAAGACAGGUUUGAGCAUUUUUACUACUGCAGAUAACCUCUUAAUUAUGUCACUACCUUCCACUUGUUAAUCAGAGGCAUUCAACACGCUUAACCAUCUAGGGAUUGCCUUUAGAAGACUACUUUACUAUUAGGAAUCAGAAACACAUUUUAUUCCCAAUAUGAUAUUAUUGCAUGUAUGAUGUUAUUAGCAUUGUUACAUCUUAUUUACCUGCUUUAAACACAAAACACCUAUAGAUAGGUAUGCCUGUAACAAUGUGGCUAAUUGCUUCAAAUGGUACAGCUUAUGAAAAGCAUUAAAAGGUAGGUAAUUUUACUUUUCCUAUCAUCCCUUUCUGCCUCCCCUACCUCAUAUAAUUCCUGCUUGAACUAAUUUUAGUUUUCUCCUGCAACCGCCAGUGCCUCAGAUACUGAGAUCCUUUUCCAGAGAACAAGGUGUAAGUGGAGUAAAUAAAACCUUGUUUCACUGUUGCUUUAUCAACCCUCCUAGGUAGUUUUCCUGCCAGCCAACCUGCACUGUUAAGACCCAUAAAAUUAUGCAAUAGUGACUUCUUUGGAGGUUCUCUAUAAUCAGAUAAUGGCCAGUGUUAGGAGGGAAGGGCCCAAGGCAAUGUUGCUGGCACUUAACACAGAGGUUGGUCAUUACUUGUCUGGUAGAGACCAAUAAACAGCUGAUUACUAUCCUAGAAGGAGCCAAUAUUUUACAUUUACCCUAGCCAAUAUUUUGCAUACAUUUUCCCCCUUUUCAUUUCAACUUCUUAUACUAGCAAGCAUUUGUCAAGAAAAUCUAUCAAGAAUAACCUCACAGGCAUCUUAAAAACAAGAAUUUUCCUAGCAUGAAAGGAUGCUUUUUUUGUGUGUGGAAUGGUGAGAAUGAUUUUGCUUUUUACAGGAGCAAAGGUUUGAUUACUUUAACGUCCAUUUCUCUUAGAUAUGUACACUCUCAGACACCCCCCUCAGCCCCCACUUCCCUCUUCUCUACUCUAGAACAGGUUCACAGGCUGCAACUAAGGAGUUUUAAAAUGCAAAUAUUUAUAUUUGAGCUCUGGCAAUAACAGAGUGAUUUUUGCUUCCUCUGUAAGCCCGUGAUAAUUGAUGCUUCAUACCUGGAACUAUGUUUCAUUUAUCUCUUUACACAUGAAGAUAUUAUAUAAAUAAAAGAUAAUUUAUGGAAAGAAGCGGGCCAUUUGAAAUAAUCAUCCUAAAUUUAACUCUAUAAUCUUCAAGGCUAUAAGAAUCAGAAGGGCAGCUUGCCACACUUUUAAAGAAAAUUUGAUUGCAACCAGGGAAUUUGUGCAUUUUUGAACACUUACUGAAUUUGAAUGCCUGCACAGGACUAAAAAUGGAGAUAAAAGGAAGACAGGAGAGAUAAAGGUGAAAUUUACAUGUGCUAUAAGUGAUGAUAUUCAGUCAUAUAUUAAAUAUAUAAUUUUAUUAAUAUUUUCUUUAUAUCUAAAUAUAAUUUUACUAACAGAUACUAAUUGCAAAAUAAGAUAUCAUCUCAAAUUCCUUUUGUUCCCUGGGAUCCUGAUCUUAGAAAGAGCAGGUGUAUCCCCAAAGAACUGGAUCCUGGUUUCACAACCUCAUACAAAGACAGGCAAUUCUUGAGUCAAACAAACAAAGGGGGUGUAAGCAAUUUCAUUUAUUUUGAUAAUUCUCCUUCUUCACGGGAGCAUUUUGCUGUCUUUGUCAAAGUGAAUGACAACAAUUUGGUCAACUCUCUCUGAGCUGCACUCAACAGUGACAGGCAAAUUAUCAGAGGCCCUGCACUUCUUAUUAUCAGAGGAGAAACCAUCAGGGGGACGCAUGGAGGAUACCUCUCCCUUGUCACUAUUUGUCAGUGGGACAAGGGCCACUGCUAUGGGUAGCUGACAGAUCCUUGAACCUCAGUUACUAGCACAUAUGAGGAAUAAUUCUUACUGAGAAAUGAAAGAAAAAUAAAACAAAGCAGUGAUUAGAAGAUGCUACUUGCAUUUGGCCAUAUUAGAGAUUAUAAAGAUUUCAUGUUUUUAAAAGAAGACUAAACUCAGAACAAAAAUGGGGAACUUAAACAAAAUGUUCUGUACAUUUUAUUGCAGAUUCUUUAAGGAGUAGAGAACAUUCAUAUGGAUUGACAGCCCCAUUUUAUCAUUAUUAUUCUUUUUAUUCCAUUAACAUACUUAUGGCUAUAUGCCUUCUAUAAUCAUAUUUAGUAAAAACAAACACCCCCCUGAGUUUAUAGAAUAUAAUCCACUUUUUAAAAUUCACAGGUUGAACACAGAUUUCCAUUCACUUCACAAUUAACUCAAAAAUCGAAAACUACAAAUUUUGAGGUUUGUAUUUCCAAAUAUUAAACAACAACAACAACAACAACAAAAAUCUCCUCCUUUGUUUUUGACCCCCAACCCAGCAUGUUCUUAAGUGGUCUACUUCAAACAAAAGAAAAUGACACAGCCCUUUCAAUGAGCAAAUGUUAGGUUCUUUCAAAACCAACUGGGGACUCACUGGAAGUUUUGCAAUUAGACUCACACAAAUUGAAUUAUUUUCAUAUUUUUCCCAGGCAUCAUUCCUGGAACUUUAUAAAUAAAACAGUACUGGAAUUAGA
Molecule: long non-coding RNA, 5131 nt
Organism: Erinaceus europaeus (western European hedgehog)
Lineage: Eukaryota; Metazoa; Chordata; Mammalia; Eulipotyphla; Erinaceidae
Exons: 2
Source: RefSeq, a predicted model, not a curated record